RNAcentral lists this ribosomal RNA (464 nucleotides) under uncultured bacterium. Its description in RNAcentral is "partial 16S ribosomal RNA". It matches the Rfam family "Bacterial small subunit ribosomal RNA", at positions 28 to 507 of the family's 1533-position model. The record is from RNAcentral.
GACGAACGCUGGCGGCGUGCUUAACACAUGCAAGUCGAACGGAAAGGCCCUGCUUGCAGGGUACUCGAGUGGCGAACGGGUGAGUAACACGUGGGUGAUCUGCCCUGCACUUCGGGAUAAGCCUGGGAAACUGGGUCUAAUACCGGAUAGGAGCCAUUUUUAGUGUGAUGGUUGGAAAGUUUUUUCGGUGUGGGAUGAGCUCGCGGCCUAUCAGCUUGUUGGUGGGGUAAUGGCCUACCAAGGCGGCGACGGGUAGCCGGCCUGAGAGGGUGGACGGCCACAUUGGGACUGAGAUACGGCCCAGACUCCUACGGGAGGCAGCAGUGGGGAAUAUUGCACAAUGGGCGCAAGCCUGAUGCAGCGACGCCGCGUGGGGGAUGACGGCCUUCGGGUUGUAAACUCCUUUCGCUAGGGACGAAGCUUUUGUGACGGUACCUAGAUAAGAAGCACCGGCUAACUACGUG